UGGGGAAUAUUGGACAAUGGGCGCAAGCCUGAUCCAGCAACGCCGCGUGGAGGACGAAGGCCUUAGGGUCGUAAACUCCUGUCAGUAGGGACGAAAAAGUAGGGUCGAACAGGCCCUGCCAUUGACGGUACCUGCAGAGGAAGCCCCGGCUAACUCCGUGCCAGCAGCCGCGGUAAUACGGAGGGGGUUGAGCGUUGUUCGGAAUUACUGGGCGUAAAGCGCACGUAGGCGGACCAGAAAGUUGGGGUGAAAUCCGGGGCUCAACCCGGAACUGCCUCCAAAACAUAUUGGUCUAGAGUUCGAGAGAGGUGAGUGGAAUUCCAAGUGUAGAGGUGAAAAUUCGUAGAUAUUUGGAGGAACACCAGUGGCGAAGGCGGCUCACUGGCUCGAUACUGACGCUGAGGUGCGAAAGUGUGGGGAGC
This 422-nucleotide ribosomal RNA is filed under the name uncultured bacterium. RNAcentral describes it as "bacterial SSU rRNA". It matches the Rfam family "Bacterial small subunit ribosomal RNA", at positions 355 to 769 of the family's 1533-position model. The record is from RNAcentral.